CCUACGGGUGCCUGCAGUGAGGAAUAUUGGGCAAUGGGGGCAACCCUGACCCAGCCAUGCCGCGUGAGUGAAGAAGGUCUUCGGAUUGUAAAGCUCUUUCGGACGUGACGAUGAUGACGGUAGCGUCUAAAGAAGCACCGGCAAACUCCGUGCCAGCAGCCGCGGUAAUCCGAAGGGUGCGAGCGUUGUCCGGAUUUACUGGGCGUAAAGGGAGUGUAGGCGGAAGUGUAGGAUAGCGGUGAAAUGCCGGGGCUCAACCCCGGAACUGCCAUAAUGACUAUGUUUCUGGAGUAAUGGAGAGGAUAGCGGAAUACCCAGUGUAGAGGUGAAAUUCGUAGAUAUUGGGUAGAACACCGGUGGCGAAGGCGGCUAUCUGGCCAUUUACUGACGCUGAGGCUCGAAAGCAUGGGGAUCAAACAGGAUUAGAUACCCGAGUAGUC
RNAcentral lists this ribosomal RNA (440 nucleotides) under uncultured bacterium. Its description in RNAcentral is "partial 16S ribosomal RNA". It matches the Rfam family "Bacterial small subunit ribosomal RNA", at positions 338 to 795 of the family's 1533-position model. The record is from RNAcentral.